This 497-nucleotide ribosomal RNA is filed under the name uncultured bacterium. RNAcentral's name for it is "partial 16S ribosomal RNA". It matches the Rfam family "Bacterial small subunit ribosomal RNA", at positions 28 to 507 of the family's 1533-position model. The record is from RNAcentral.
GAUGAACGCUGGCGGCGUGCCUAAUACAUGCAAGUCGAGCGAACGGACGAGAAGCUUGCUUCUCUGAUGUUAGCGGCGGACGGGUGAGUAACACGUGGAUAACCUACCUAUAAGACUGGGAUAACUUCGGGAAACCGUAGCUAAUACCGGAUAAUAUUUUGAACCGCAUGGUUCAAAAGUGAAAGACGGUCUUGCUGUCACUUAUAGAUGGAUCCGCGCUGCAUUAGCUAGUUGGUAAGGUAACGGCUUACCAAGGCAACGAUGCAUAGCCGACCUGAGAGGGUGAUCGGCCACACUGGAACUGAGACACGGUCCAGACUCCUACGGGAGGCAGCAGUAGGGAAUCUUUCGCAAUGGGCGAAAGCCUGACGGAGCAACGCCGCGUGAGUGAUGAAGGUCUUCGGAUCGUAAAACUCUGUUAUUAGGGAAGAACAUAUGUGUAAGUAACUGUGCACAUCUUGACGGUACCUAAUCAGAAAGCCACGGCUAACUACGUG